CAAAGUGAGGCAGAUGAUCGCGUGCGCCUCAGGCGCAUGAGGAAAGUCCGAACUCCAGAGGGCGGGAUGCCCCAUAACGUGGGGGAGGCGCGAGCCUAUGGAAAGUGCCACAGAAAAUAUACCGUCCGCCGAAGGCGGAUAAGGGUGAAAAGGUGGGGUAAGAGCCCACCGGUUCGUUGGCAACAACGGACGCAUGGUAAACCCCAUCCGGAGAAAGACCAAAUAGGGGAGAAGAAGCUGCCCGUUUCGUUCGACUCCCGGGUAGGUCGCUCGAGGUCGCCGGCAACGGCGAUCCCAGAUAAAUGAUCAUCAAAACAGAAUUCGGCUUAUGGCUCAAUUUGAAUU
Molecule: RNase P RNA, 345 nt
Filed under: Candidatus Zhuqueibacterota bacterium
Lineage: Bacteria; Pseudomonadati
Description: candidate division KSB1 bacterium (microbial mat metagenome) RNase P RNA component class A
Rfam family: Bacterial RNase P class A
About the family: Ribonuclease P (RNase P) is a ubiquitous endoribonuclease, found in archaea, bacteria and eukarya as well as chloroplasts and mitochondria.
Source: RNAcentral